GAGCGGCAGCGCGGGAGCAAUCCUGGCGGCGAGCGGCGGACGGGUGAGCAAUGCUUGGGAAUCUGCCUAUCAGUGGGGGACAACCCGGGGAAACUCGGGCUACUACCGCAUACGUUCUUCGGAAGAAAGCAGGGGAUCGCAAGACCUUGCGCUGAUAGAUGAGCCCAAGCCGGAUUAGCUAGUUGGUGAGGUAAUGGCUCACCAAGGCGACGAUCCGUAGCUGGUCUGAGAGGACGACCAGCCACACCGGAACUGAGACACGGCCCAGACUCCUACGGGAGGCAGCAGUGGGGAAUAUUGGACAAUGGGGGCAACCCUGAUCCAGCCAUGCCGCGUGAGUGAUGAAGGCCUUCGGGUUGUAAAGCUCUUUUGGCGGGGACGAUGAUGACGGUACCCGCAGAAUAAGCCCCGGCUAACUUCGUG
Molecule: ribosomal RNA, 423 nt
Filed under: uncultured bacterium
Lineage: Bacteria
Description: bacterial SSU rRNA
Rfam family: Bacterial small subunit ribosomal RNA
Source: RNAcentral